GACAAGCUUUUAUAUAGCGCCUCUCUAAAUAAAAACCACAAGGACUUCACAAAAAACAAAAAAACUUUUUUAAGUAUAAAAAGAUUUAAAAAAUGGUUAAAAAUAUGUUUAAAAGGAGAAAAGGACAAAAAAGUAAAGAAAGGGAGAGAAUAGGAAUGAGGGAAAUUAAUGGCUCCCGGGAAAGGCAGAAUAGAACAGAAUAAGGAGAGAGUGGUGAUGAUAGAACGAGAUCGCGGACACAAGCAUCAGAAAACAGUUUUCUCCGCAGGGUGUCUGGGCUCUCCCUUAGAAAUAGGGUGAGAAGCUCGGUCACCCGGGAGGGGCGGAGUAGACUCGCUGCUCCUCCACGUCAAGAGGAGCCAGUUGAGGGGGCUCGGGCGCCUCUCUGGUGAGGUUUUCCGGGCACGUCCAACUGGAAGGAGACCCAAGGAAAGACCCUGGACACGCUUGGAGGGUCAAUGUCUCUCGGUUGGCCAGGAAGCGCCUUGGGAUUCCCCCGAAGGAGCUUUGGCUGCUGGCCCCGCGACCCGAUUCCAAAUAAGCAGCUGAAAAUGGAUGAUCUAGGAACAUCUGCGGCCCCUUCGUAACCUUCUGGCAGGCCAUCGACAGACAUUAAUACCAUUAAAAGUUUAAUUUUUUCAAAGUAUGCCGUAAUUUAAUUCUUUAGGGAGACAGAGAGCGGCUGUGAGGCGUAAACAACGGCAUUCGAUGGCUGUGUCUCAAUUCAGGGUCUGCAUCCUACCUCGGCCGGAUUCGUCGGCCGGUUACGUCACAGCGCCGCGACUCGGCCUGUCCCAAUUCGAAGACUCCUUCAAAUGCGGUCGACGAAUGCGGCCUUCUUUUCGCCUGAAUGAAGGAUGGGUCGGGUGUAUCCUUCAAUAGGUAGCAUUUCCCAAGAUGCCUUGCGGGCCGGCCGGCAGAGAAACUUAAAAACAAUGGCGGACAGUGAAGCGGGAGCUGUCGGAGAGGAUUGCGCAUAUAAAUGUAAGUAUAAACUUGAAAACUGUCAGUUUAAGGACUUUUUGUGAUACAUGAACGUUAUUUUAGUUAGAAAUGUAACAGUAAAAGUGCUUGUAUUGCGGUCUCGGCUCGUAUGUUCGGCCGCGCUCGGUGUCGUACUUCUCCCGCUACGUUUCCCCCUGAUUUUAAUUGAAGUUUGUAUUUUAGGACCAAAAGAGAAAACCAGGGAAUUUAUUAAGCUUAGGGCGGAGAUGGACCACAUGAUCACCGGAGCAAAGUAUUCGGCGGCUGUGGCAUGGAGACUAUUCUGGAGAAAAUGGGCAUCCAGGGGAAGGUGCCAGCGAUGACCAGCAUCUGGAGCUGAUCUGGGAGGAAUUGAGGCUGCAGAGGGAGGCAGAGCAGCAGAGAGCACAGGAGAGAAGGAAGAACUUUGACAGCUUUUUACUUUGCUAGAAAAAAUGGUUAAGGAAGAUUAAACAUGUACAUGUAAAAGAAAUAUCUAAAUAAAAUCAGUUCUGCAUUAAACUCUUGAAUUUUAUUUUUGUUUACAAAUGAGAAUUGUUUACUAGAGGGUAUCCGCUGGGUCUUGAAAAGUCUUAAAAGGUGAUAAAUCGGUUUUGGUCAAAUUAAGACCCUUAGAAAGUAUUAAAAACUAUUAUCACAUCUUUGCUCAUGCUCAGCUUGUCUAAAGUAUUUUCUCUGAAUUAGCUCUCCAACAGUCAAGGAAAUGAUUAACCCCCAGAGACCCACGGUUGUAAUAUUACAACAUCAGAUUUAA
Nothobranchius furzeri (turquoise killifish) is the source of this 1738-nucleotide non-coding RNA. Lineage: Eukaryota; Metazoa; Chordata; Actinopteri; Cyprinodontiformes; Nothobranchiidae. The record is from RefSeq and is a predicted model, not a curated record.